UAACUUAAGCAAUGCGAACCCUACCUGCUUCCGCAUCCUUGCAGUUCCAAGACUGCGCCAGUGUGAAUAAGUAUCUUCAAAAA
RNAcentral lists this small RNA (83 nucleotides) under Kurthia massiliensis. Its description in RNAcentral is "BsrC". It matches the Rfam family "BsrC". From Rfam's summary of the family: The 301 nucleotide sequence from Kouji Nakamura has been trimmed to a highly conserved ~85 nucleotide long core to form this family. The record is from RNAcentral. Lineage: Bacteria; Bacillati; Bacillota; Bacilli; Caryophanales; Caryophanaceae.